Leopardus geoffroyi (Geoffroy's cat) is the source of this 1287-nucleotide long non-coding RNA. RefSeq lists it as uncharacterized. The record is from RefSeq and is a predicted model, not a curated record. Lineage: Eukaryota; Metazoa; Chordata; Mammalia; Carnivora; Felidae. The transcript has 2 exons.
GUGGCUGUAUCUUAAUGUAGAUUGCGAACAAAGGACAUGUUAGAACUGCCAAGUACCACAGUCAACCUCUCAAAUGCUAUCAGCUUUGCCUGCAUCAGACAUCAGUGAAGAGAGUAAAACACGUGAAUAAAAGCAAAAGGUCUGUAAUAUGCAGGGCUUUAUUAGGCAGUUCUGAGCGAACUCCAAACAAAAUGUGCGAAAAGAUGAGGCAUCCCAGAAAGACACCUCUAAUCAAGUCCGUGUGCCUUAGUGAAGCUCUACAUCACAAAGGAAACAGAAAACAGAGUCCAGAUUGGGAAAGGUGUUCGUCUUCCGCCAGUACAACAUUCUUACUCCCUACAAAUUUACUGAAUCUAUAAAGACCUGAAGUUAAGCUCCUCCCAAGGCUAGAUUCAAUCUUUCCCACCAGCCCUUGAAACUGUGGAGCAACACCAACCUCCUGGCCCUUGUACCUGCUCUCCCGGCUGUCUAGAAUGCUAUUUCCUUGGAUCCUCACAAGGCUUCAUUUCUCUCUGUUCUGGACUUAGAUGUUGUCUACCUAAACUAUUUAGGUAGCACCUCCACUGAAACAGCAUCACCCCACCAGCUCCCUACCCUGCUUUACUUUCUUCAUAGAACGUAUCCAUCCCUGCAUAACAGUCGACUCUAUAUUUAUUUACUUUCCCUGUCUUCCCACAAGAUCUGAGUGUCUGGAGGACAGGAAAUUCUUUUUGUUGUUGUUUGUGACUAUAUCUCAAGUGCCCAGAAGAGCACACAAUAAAUAUAUGCCAAUGGAAUGGCUUUCAGUGGCUCAACCCAGGAUCAUCAAGGCUAUUCUACCUGUGCUCCCACGCAAGGAAGGUGGAGUAAGAUGUGGGCACAGUCAUGAUAGGAAAUCAUCUGGUAAUGUUAUCCAACACCUGCAAAGAGUUUAUUUAUUUUUUUAUUCAGUUUACCCGCUUUCAGAAACUUACACCAGAGCAAUAAUCAAAACAUUCAGGUGAAGAUUUCAAUAUAAAGAUACUUAUUAAAGUAUUAUUUGUGACUAUGACAAAUGGAAAUGACUGGAUAAAUAGCAAUACUCCUAAUAUAGAAUGGCUACCACUUUUUCAGAAGUUAUUAAGUGUUGGGUAAAAGGCUAAGUUUUUAAAAUACUCCACAAACUAGUUGUAUCCAAUUUACAGAUGAGGGCACUGAGGUAACUUGUCCAAGGCAUCAUUUGAUGAGUUUUAUGAAGCAUGGGGCCUCAAGUUCUUGCUGCCUGGACUGAGCUAAGAAAUAAUAAAUUGGAUCUGACUUACAAAACAA